This 73-nucleotide transfer RNA is filed under the name Gloeochaete wittrockiana. RNAcentral describes it as "tRNA-Lys". It matches the Rfam family "tRNA". From Rfam's summary of the family: Transfer RNA (tRNA) molecules are approximately 80 nucleotides in length. Their secondary structure includes four short double-helical elements and three loops (D, anti-codon, and T loops). Lineage: Eukaryota; Glaucocystophyceae; Gloeochaetales; Gloeochaetaceae. The record is from RNAcentral.
GGAUGCAUAGCUCAGUUGGUAGAGCAGAGAACUUUUAAUUCUAAGGUCUUAGGUUCGAUUCCUAAUGCAUCCA